Molecule: ribosomal RNA, 463 nt
Filed under: uncultured bacterium
Lineage: Bacteria
Description: partial 16S ribosomal RNA
Rfam family: Bacterial small subunit ribosomal RNA
Source: RNAcentral
GAUGAACGCUGGCAGCAUGCUUAACACAUGCAAGUCGAUCGGUAAGUGGUGCUUGCUCCUUGGCGACCUUGGCGGGCGGGUGAGUGACGCGUAAGGGGCUUACCUCCUGGACUGGGCUAAUAGGGAACAACUCCUGACAGUACCGGAUACUGGCAUUGCGGUGCCUGUCUUUUUGAUGGAAGGAGACGCCUGCGGGGACGCUUGCGUCCUAAUAGCUAGCUGGUGAGGUAAUGGCUCACCAGGUGGAGGAGAGGGAGGCGGCCGGAGAGGGUGGGCGGCCACAAGGGGACUGAGAGACGGCCGUUACUGCUACGAGAGGAAGCAGUGGGGAAUAUUGGAGAAGGGGGGCAACGCUGAUGCAGCAAUUCUGUGUGUACGAAGAAGGUUUUCGGAGUGUAAAGUGCUUUCAGCAGGGAAGAAGUAAGUGACGGUACCUGCAGAAGAAGCGACGGCUAAAUACGUG